Molecule: ribosomal RNA, 486 nt
Filed under: uncultured bacterium
Lineage: Bacteria
Description: partial 16S ribosomal RNA
Rfam family: Bacterial small subunit ribosomal RNA
Source: RNAcentral
AUUGAACGCUGGCGGCAUGCCUUACACAUGCAAGUCGAACGGCAGCACGGUUGCUUGCACCUGGUGGCGAGUGGCGAACGGGUGAGUAAUACAUCGGCACCUGUCCUGUAGUUGGGGAUAGCCCGGCGAAAGCCGGAUUAAUACCGCAUACGAUCCACGGAUGAAAGCGGGGGACCUUCGGGCCUCGCGCUAUCGGGUUGGCCGAUGGCUGUUUAGCUAGUUGGUGGGGUAAAGGCCUACCAAGGCGACGAUCAGUAGCUGGUCUGAGAGGACGACCAGCCACACUGGGACUGAGACACGGCCCAGACUCCUACGGGAGGCAGCAGUGGGGAAUUUUGGACAAUGGGCGAAAGCCUGAUCCAGCAAUGCCGCGUAUGUGAAGAAGGCCUUCGGGUUGUAAAGCACUUUUGUCCGGAAAGAAAUCCUUGGCUCUAAUACAGUCGGGGGAUGACGGUACCGGAAGAAUAAGCACCGGCUAACUACGUG